CCUACGGGUGGCUGCAGUGGGGAAUAUUGCGCAAUGGGCGAAAGCCUGACGCAGCGACGCCGCGUGUGGGAUGACGGCCUUCGGGUUGUAAACCACUGUCGCGAGGGACGAAGAUCUGACGGUACCUCGAAAGGAAGCACCGGCUAACUCUGUGCCAGCAGCCGCGGUAAUACAGAGGGUGCGAGCGUUGUCCGGAAUCACUGGGCGUAAAGGGCGCGUAGGCGGCCUGGUAAGUAGGGGGUGAAAUCUCGCGGCUCAACUGCGAGGCUGCCUCCUAAACUGCCGGGCUUGAGCACAGCAGAGGCAGGUGGAAUUCCCGGUGUAGCGGUGGAAUGCGUAGAGAUCGGGAAGAACAUCGGUGGCGAAGGCGGCCUGCUGGGCUGUUGCUGACGCUGAGGCGCGACAGCGUGGGGAGCAAACAGGAUUAGAUACCCCAGUAGUC
RNAcentral lists this ribosomal RNA (442 nucleotides) under uncultured bacterium. RNAcentral describes it as "partial 16S ribosomal RNA". It matches the Rfam family "Bacterial small subunit ribosomal RNA", at positions 338 to 795 of the family's 1533-position model. The record is from RNAcentral.